GAGUUUGAUCCUGGCUCAGGAUGAACGCUGGCGGUCUGCUUAACACAUGCAAGUCGAACGGAGUGCUUCGGCACUUAGUGGCGGACGGGUGAGUAACGCGUGAGAAUCUGCCCUUAGGACGGGGACAACGACUGGAAACGGUCGCUAAUACCCGAUAUGCCGAGAGGUGAAAUGAUUUAUUGCCUGAGGAUGAGCUCGCGUCUGAUUAGCUAGUUGGUGGGGUAAUGGCCUACCAAGGCUGCGAUCAGUAGCUGGUCUGAGAGGAUGAUCAGCCACACUGGGACUGAGACACGGCCCAGACUCCUACGGGAGGCAGCAGUGGGGAAUUUUCCGCAAUGGGCGCAAGCCUGACGGAGCAAGACCGCGUGCGGGACGGCGGCCUGUGGGUUGUAAACCGCUUUUGACAGGGAAGAAUCCAUGACGGUACCUGUCGAAUCAGCCUCGGCUAACUCCGUGCCAGCAGCCGCGGUAAUACGGAGGAGGCAAGCGUUAUCCGGAAUUAUUGGGCGUAAAGCGUCCGCAGGUGGUUGGUCAAGUCAGCUGUUAAAGCGUGGGGCUUAACUCCAUAAGGGCAGUUGAAACUGACUAGCUAGAGUGCGAUAGGGGCAAGGGGAAUUCCCAGUGUAGCGGUGAAAUGCGUAGAUAUUGGGAAGAACACCGGUGGCGAAAGCGCCUUGCUGGGUCUGCACUGACACUGAGGGACGAAAGCUAGGGGAGCGAAAGGGAUUAGAUACCCCUGUAGUCCUAGCUGUAAACGAUGGGUACUAGGCGUUGUCCGUAUCGACCCGGGCAGUGCCGUAGCUAACGCGUUAAGUAUCCCGCCUGGGGAGUACGCACGCAAGUGUGAAACUCAAAGGAAUUGACGGGGACCCGCACAAGCGGUGGAGUAUGUGGUUUAAUUCGAUGCAACGCGAAGAACCUUACCAGGGUUUGACAUGUCCGGAACCCUCUUGAAAGAGAGGGGUGCCUUCGGGAACCGGAACACAGGUGGUGCAUGGCUGUCGUCAGCUCGUGUCGUGAGAUGUUGGGUUAAGUCCCGCAACGAGCGCAACCCUCGUUCUUAGUUGCCAGCAUUUAGUUGGGCACUCUAGGGAGACUGCCGGUGACAAACCGGAGGGGAAGGUGGGGAUGACGUCAAGUCCAGCAUGCCCCUUACGCUCUGGGCUACACACGUACCUACAAUGCUUCGGACAAAGGGCUGCCAACUCGCGGGGAGUGCGCUAAUCCCAUAUAAAACCGAGGCUCAGUUCAGAUUGCAGGCUGCAACUCGCCUGCAUGAAGGCGGGAUCGCUAGUAAUCGCAGGUCAGCAUACUGCGGUGAAUACGUUCCCGGGUCUUGUACACACCGCCCCGUCACACCAUGGGAGUUGGCCACGCCCGAAGUCGUUAUCCUAACCUAUAUGGAGGGAGACGCCGAAGGCAGGGCUGAUGACUGGGGUGAAGUCGUAACAAGGUAGCCGUACCGGAAGGUGUGGCUGGAUCACCUCCUUUUUAGGGAGACCUACCCACUCUGAUUGCUGAACGCACAGUGUCAUUAAGCAAAGAGUUGGUCAUCCCAAGGUCGUUCGGGAAUGAGUAAAUGGCUUUCAAACUAUGAGGUUCGGGAAAUGGGCUAUUAGCUCAGGUGGUUAGAGCGCACCCCUGAUAAGGGUGAGGUCCCUGGUUCGAGUCCAGGAUGGCCCACCUCAAUAAAAGGAAGGGGGAAGAUGAGUAUAGGAAAGUGUUUUUCUGGUAAUUUAUCUUCGCCUGUUCAGAUAAGGGGGUUUAGCUCAGUUGGUAGAGCGCCUGCUUUGCAAGCAGGAUGUCAGCAGUUCGAGUCUGCUAACCUCCACUGAAAGUUUUUAUUGAAUGCUUGAAGACGAAAUUUGUUUCAUUGAUUUCAGCAACUAAUUUAGGAAAGGCUAAAUAGACUGCUGGGAUUAGAGCCAGCGAGAACCUAGAAAACUGCAUAGCAAGAAACUUGUCAGGUAGAACAUCAAGGCUUGCCUUGAUGAGAACAGACACCAAUGAAAUUUUGUGGUCAAGCUACAAAGAGCUAACGGUGGAUACCUAGGCACACAGAGGCGAAG
Molecule: ribosomal RNA, 2069 nt
Filed under: Leptolyngbya sp. CHAB TP201703.1
Lineage: Bacteria; Bacillati; Cyanobacteriota; Cyanophyceae; Leptolyngbyales; Leptolyngbyaceae
Description: bacterial SSU rRNA
Rfam family: Bacterial small subunit ribosomal RNA (bases 1-1491)
Source: RNAcentral